AUUCCAGCUCCAAUAGCGUAUAUUAAAGUUGUUGCAGUUAAAAAGCUCGUAGUUGGAUUUUUGGUGUCCAUUUUGGUCCUGGCAUUGUCUGGGUACUGGAUGUGGGCGUCAUCCUUGGGUGGAAGCAGUGUGGCAUUAGGUUGUCGUGUUGCGGAUGCCCAUCGUUUACUGUGAAAAAAUCAGCGCGUUCAAAGCAGGCUUAUGCCGUUGAAUGUAUUAGCAUGGAAUAAUAAGAUAGGACCUUGGUACUAUUUUGUUGGUUUGCGCACCGAGGUAAUGAUUAAUAGGGACAGUUGGGGGUAUUCGUAUUCCAUUGUCAGAGGUGAAAUUCUUGGAUUUCUGGAAGACGAACUACUGCGAAAGCAUUUACCAAGGAUGUUUUC
RNAcentral lists this ribosomal RNA (383 nucleotides) under Planothidium lanceolatum. Its description in RNAcentral is "SSU rRNA". It matches the Rfam family "Eukaryotic small subunit ribosomal RNA", at positions 582 to 971 of the family's 1831-position model. The record is from RNAcentral. Lineage: Eukaryota; Bacillariophyta; Bacillariophyceae; Cocconeidales; Achnanthidiaceae.